UUGGAGUGUACAAGAUAGAUAAUGAGCAGAUCGUCCAUAUUGAAAAGUGCAGAGGAAAUAGCCAUUCUACAGUUUCUGUCUUCCCUCUCUCUCUCUCUCUCUCUCUGGCUAUCUCUAGUUUUGUACAGGAACCAUUUGUCUCUCUCUAGCAGUUGCUAUCAAGAUUGGCCUAGGCUGUCGAAGAAUUUCCGAGGUUUACA
RNAcentral lists this long non-coding RNA (200 nucleotides) under Spirodela polyrhiza (greater duckweed). RNAcentral's name for it is "long non-coding RNA (SPOL_LNC002368)". The record is from RNAcentral. Lineage: Eukaryota; Viridiplantae; Streptophyta; Magnoliopsida; Alismatales; Araceae.